AUUUAAGUAAUUUAAAUAAAAUAUUGGAUUGUGGAGCCAAAAAUGUAAAAUUUUACCUUAAAUA
This 64-nucleotide transfer RNA is filed under the name Psephenidae sp. BMNH 842687. RNAcentral's name for it is "tRNA-His". It matches the Rfam family "tRNA". Rfam says of the family: Transfer RNA (tRNA) molecules are approximately 80 nucleotides in length. Lineage: Eukaryota; Metazoa; Arthropoda; Insecta; Coleoptera; Psephenidae. The record is from RNAcentral.